Molecule: ribosomal RNA, 481 nt
Filed under: uncultured bacterium
Lineage: Bacteria
Description: partial 16S ribosomal RNA
Rfam family: Bacterial small subunit ribosomal RNA
Source: RNAcentral
AUUGAACACUGGCGGCAUGCUCUACACAUGCAAGUCGAACGGUAACAGGCCGCAAGGUGCUGACGAGUGGCGAACGGGUGAGUAAUGCACCGGAACGUGCCCAGGCGUGGGGGAUAACUAGUCGAAAGAGUAGCUAAUACCCCAUACGAUCUAUGGAGGAAAGCGGGGGACCGUAAGGCCUCGCGCGCUUGGAGCGGCCGAUGUCGGAUUAGGUCUUUGGGGGGGUAAAGGCUCACCAAGCCAAGGUUCUGUACCUGUUCUGAGAGGAGGACCGGCCAACCUGGAAUUGAGCAACGGCCAGGACUCCUAGGGAAGGCGGCGGGGGGAAAUUUUGGACAAGGGGCGAAAGCCUGAUCCAGCAAUGCGGCGGGGAGGAAGAAGGCCUUCGGGUUGUAAACUGCUUUUGUACGGAACGAAACGGCUCUGGUUAAUACCCGGGGUUAAGGACGGUACCGUAAGAAUAAGCACCGGCUAACUACUG